GUCAGACUUUUAUAGUGGUGAAAUUUUAAAGUGUAAUAAGCUUAUAACAUCUAUAUUGGUGAAAUGAUAUUUAUAAACUUGUAUAAACUAUAUAAAGAACCUAAUAUUGACUAUAAACAAGGAUUAGAUACCCUUCUAUACAAUACUUACAUAUUUCUACACUGAGCACUAAGACCUUCUAAGGUUAAAACUCAAAUAGCAUGGCGGUAAUUUUAAAAUUUAGGGGAACUUACCAAGUAAUUGAUAGCCACCAAGGAAAUCUACUUUAAUGUAAUAUUUUGUAUGCCGUCGUCAACACAUAAUAUAUAAUAUAUUAUCUUAUUAGUAUCAGUAACUAAUAGUACAUAUCAGUGCACAUUAUCGUAAAGUUUAGGCGAGUUACAAUUUUGUUAAGCGAAAAUUGACUUGAAAAAUCAAUUGAAGGAGGACUUAAAUGUAAUUUAAAAUUACUCAUAAAAAAUGAAUAAAUUAUAAAAUUGUGUACAA
RNAcentral lists this ribosomal RNA (486 nucleotides) under Satsuma jacobii. RNAcentral describes it as "partial 12S ribosomal RNA". The record is from RNAcentral. Lineage: Eukaryota; Metazoa; Mollusca; Gastropoda; Stylommatophora; Camaenidae.